This 522-nucleotide ribosomal RNA is filed under the name Spencermartinsiella sp. RNAcentral describes it as "partial large subunit ribosomal RNA". It matches the Rfam family "Eukaryotic large subunit ribosomal RNA", at positions 122 to 657 of the family's 3401-position model. The record is from RNAcentral. Lineage: Eukaryota; Fungi; Ascomycota; Dipodascomycetes; Dipodascales; Trichomonascaceae.
CUGGCAUCUUUGGUGUCCGAGUUGUAAUUUGAAGAAAGUAACUUUUGGAAUGAGCCUUGCAUAAGUUCCUUGGAAUAGGACGUCAUAGAGGGUGAGAAUCCCGUUUAUGGUGAGGUAUUCAUUUCCUAUGUAAAGUGCUUUCGAAGAGUCGAGUUGUUUGGGAAUGCAGCUCUAAGUGGGUGGUAAAUUCCAUCUAAAGCUAAAUAUUGGCGAGAGACCGAUAGCGAACAAGUACAGUGAUGGAAAGAUGAAAAGAACUUUGAAAAGAGAGUGAAAAAGUACGUGAAAUUGUUGAAAGGGAAGGGCUUGAAAUCAGACUUGGUAUUCAGUGAUCAGCAAUCUCUCGGGGUUGUGCACUUGCUGUUUACUGGGCCAACAUCGGUUUUGACGGUGAGAUAAUGGCUUUUGAAUGUGGCUUUCCUUCGGGGGAGUGUUUAUAGCUUAAGUUGAUAUCACCAGUCGGGACCGACGGCAUUUUUGUCAUUUGUUGUUGGCGUAAUGAUUUUAAGCCACCCGUCUUGA